This 301-nucleotide ribosomal RNA is filed under the name uncultured bacterium. RNAcentral's name for it is "partial 16S ribosomal RNA". It matches the Rfam family "Bacterial small subunit ribosomal RNA", at positions 509 to 807 of the family's 1533-position model. The record is from RNAcentral.
CAGUCGCCGCGGUAAUGCGUAGGGUGCGAGCGUUAAUCGGAAUUACUGGGCGUAAAGCGUGCGCAGGCGGUUGUGUAAGACAGGUGUGAAAUCCCCGGGCUUAACCUGGGAACUGCGCUUGUGACUGCACAGCUAGAGUAUGGCAGAGGGGGGUGGAAUUCCACGUGUAGCAGUGAAAUGCGUAGAGAUGUGGAGGAACACCGAUGGCGAAGGCAGCCCCCUGGGCCAAUACUGACGCUCAUGCACGAAAGCGUGGGGAGCAAACAGGAUUAGAUACCCGGGUAGUCCCUGUCUCUUAUAC